UUUCCGUAGGUGAACCUGCGGAAGGAUCAUUAAUGAGUUGUCAUGGGGUUCGAUGCUGGCAGCCAAUUUUUGGAUGCAUGUGCUUGCCCUAACAAUCAUCUUCCAAACACCUGUGCACAUUUUUGAGGGAGUCUUGAGUUGGUUGCCGCUCUUGGGUGAUUUUCUCACAUUCCCUUAAUCAUUAUACGCUAUUAACAAUGUUGAACGUGCUCUGUGCCGCAAGGCUAUUAAUAUAAUACAACUUUUAACAACGGAUCUCUUGGCUCUC
This 268-nucleotide unclassified non-coding RNA is filed under the name plant metagenome. RNAcentral's name for it is "partial contains small subunit ribosomal RNA, internal transcribed spacer 1, and 5.8S ribosomal RNA". The record is from RNAcentral.